CGGCGGACGGGUGAGUAACGCGUGGGUAACCUGCCUCAUACAGGGGGAUAACAGUUGGAAACGGCUGCUAAUACCGCAUAAGCGCACAGUACCGCAUGGUACGGUGUGAAAAACUCCGGUGGUAUGAGAUGGACCCGCGUCUGAUUAGGUAGUUGGUGGGGUAACGGCCUACCAAGCCGACGAUCAGUAGCCGACCUGAGAGGGUGACCGGCCACAUUGGGACUGAGACACGGUCCAA
RNAcentral lists this ribosomal RNA (238 nucleotides) under uncultured bacterium. Its description in RNAcentral is "partial 16S ribosomal RNA". It matches the Rfam family "Bacterial small subunit ribosomal RNA", at positions 96 to 334 of the family's 1533-position model. The record is from RNAcentral.